AUUUACUUCAUCUACAGGAAAACAGGCUUUUAAAAAUAACCACUAAUACUUACAUUUUACCAUGAGUAAAGUAGUACUUUUGCAGUAAUUUUUUGAGUUUAUAUGCAGACAUAAUAGACAUUACUAAAUAUCAGGAAAGCUAACAUUUCAUACAAGGUAGCUUCAGACCGAAUUCAAGUUGAAUUUGAAUAAAUUAGAAAUGCUGUGCAUACAUAUAACCCCUUUGUGCACUGUUAGUCUUAGAAUGUUAAUCCUUGUUUUUUGUCAUGUCUGUAAAGGAGAAACAAAACAAAAAACCAGAGCCCUAGAGAAAUGCUGUCACUUUUUAUUUUUACACCCAUUGGAUUUAAGGAAAAGACUUUUUAGUCGAUAUUGAUUGGUUGGAAGGAAUGAAGAAAGUUUUUAGUUAUAGGUCCAGACACUAGUGCUGAAAAUAAAGAUUAUAGCCAGUGUUCUUCUGUCUUCCAUAGUUACUACAACUAUGAGAGCCCCCCAAACCCCCACCAAGUCAUCUAUCAAUUCAGCUCUCUUUUUUUUUUUGGUCUUAAUGUUGACACACAAGUUUAUACAGAGUGGAUUACCGAACUAGCUCAGAAGAGGACAGCAAAGAAUUAAAGCAGGUGAUCUUCCCUUGUGGGAGAGCUCUCUCAGUGCUAAUAUGCCUUCUGUGGGCAGAAAUCAGGAAUCCACCAGCUGUUAAUGGAGAGUGCCUUGCUUCCAUUUCAGACAGCAGAGUUUUCCAAAGUUUCUCUGCUCCUCUAACAGCAUUGCUCUUUAGUGGGUGUUAACAUUGUGUUUGAAAGAAAUGCUCUUGUACAUUAACAAUGUAGAUUUAAAUGAUUAAAUUAAAUUACAUUGUAUCAAUG
This 866-nucleotide long non-coding RNA is filed under the name Bos taurus (domestic cattle). Its description in RNAcentral is "long non-coding RNA NONBTAT024578". Lineage: Eukaryota; Metazoa; Chordata; Mammalia; Artiodactyla; Bovidae. The record is from RNAcentral.